Long non-coding RNA from Bos taurus (domestic cattle), 1347 nucleotides. NCBI's taxonomy places the organism in Eukaryota, Metazoa, Chordata, Mammalia, Artiodactyla, Bovidae. The record is from Ensembl.
AUUAAAGAUGCACUUUGCCUUGAGUAACAAGUAGUACUGGAUUAUAACUUGAAGUAUAGAAUUGAUGCUUUUGAACUGUGGUGUUGGAGAAGACUCUUGAGGGUCACUUGGACUGCAAGGAGAUCCAUCCAGUCCAUCCUAAAGGAAAUCAGUUUAGAAUAUUCAUUGGAAGAACUGAUGCUGAAGCUGAAACUCCAAUACUUCGGCCACCUAAUGCAAAGAACUGACUCAUUGGAAAAUUUCCCUGAUGCUGGGAAAGAUUGAAGGCGAGAGAAGGGGAAGACAGAGGAUGAGAUGGUUGGAUGGCAUCACCAACUCAAUGGACAUGAGUUUGAGUAAACUCUGGGAGUUGGUGAUGGACAGGGAGGCUUGGCAUGCUGUGGUCCAUGGGGUCGCAGAGUCAGAUGCAACUGAGCGACUGAACUGAAAGGUAGCAGCCAUAGUCAAACUGGGGUAAAUCAAUCACUUAUACAAAUAAAUGUAUAAGUGGGGAAGGAGUGAUGUCUUUGGUGCAGAAUUCUAAACAAUUUUUAUAGAUACUCCACCAUGAGGCCUCACUCCUCAUUCUAAAUGUGGCCUGUGCCGUGACUUCCUUCUGAAGAGUACCACGUGAAAAGUGGGGGGAGGAGAGUAACUUCUAUAGUGGAGAAACUAAACAAGCACUGCCUCAGUCAGGUGAUCAAGGUUAAUAUUAACAGUGAUUAAUCAUGUUGAUAGUAUGUGCACUAGCGAGGAUAUGACAAAAAUGGCCUUUCCUUCUAAAACUCAUAAUCCCAGUCUCAAUAAAAGGGAAGAAGUGGACAGCCCCCACAUGAGGGACAUUCUACAAAAUGUCUGACCAAUAUUCCUCAAAACUCUCAAGAUUUUCAAAGACAAAGUCUGAGAAACUGCCACAGCCAAGAGGAGCUUAUGGACACAUACCAAGUAAAUGUAAUAUUAUAUCCUGAUGUGACACUGGAUUAGAAAAAGGAUAUUUGAAUGUUUCUCCUAGUCACCAGAAGCAGUCAUCACCAUGAAGGACUUUAGGACUUCUCUGGAUAUAAGGAGAUACAAGAACUGGGCUCAUAAAGUCGACUGUGAAAUUAUUUAACCAUCUGAAGACUUGUUCUGCCAGUUUUUCCCAAAGCACAGAGUGCCUCUUUUCUGCCCUCCACCCUGAAUUCCUUUCAGGGAUUGUUGAAAGUCAGCAUGAUUUAAUCCUUGUAGAGGUAGAUGGCAAGUGGCAAUUUGUAGUUGACAGGAGCAUUGUGGGAGGUAGGCAUGAGACUACUAGAAAAAAGCCAGAAAUCCUACAACAGGGGUUACUUAUCUAAACUACUGUAUGUCUAUGGGAUGGAAUACCUUGCA